Molecule: ribosomal RNA, 454 nt
Filed under: uncultured bacterium
Lineage: Bacteria
Description: bacterial SSU rRNA
Rfam family: Bacterial small subunit ribosomal RNA
Source: RNAcentral
AGCGAACGCUAGCGGCGGGCCUAACACAUGCAAGUCGAGCGCAUACCUUCGGGUAUGAGCGGCGGACGGGUGAGUAACACGUAGGUAAUCUACCCUUUGGUGGGGAAUAACCCGGGGAAACUCGGGCUAAUGCCGCACGAGGUCUACGGAUCAAAGCCUUCGGGCGCCAGAGGAUGAGCCUGCGUUGCAUUACCUAGUUGGCGGGGUAACGGCCCACCAAGGGGACGAUGCAUAGCUGGUCUGAGAGGAUGAUCAGCCACACUGGGACUGAGACACGGCCCAGACUCCUACGGGAGGCAGCAGUGGGGAAUAUUGCGCAAUGGGGGAAACCCUGACGCAGCUACGCCGCGUGGGUGAUGAAGGCCUUCGGGUGUAAAGCCCUGUCGGGAGGGACGAAUACUGACGGUACCUCCCAAGAAGCACCGGCUAACUCCGUGCCAGCAGCCGCGGUAAU